GAGGAUCUACCAUUCUAUGCAGUUGGAUAUUGGUGUGCUGUUUAUUGUUUCCUUUUAUACUUCCGUUUUUCUUGCAGUUGAUAAUGGAGAAAAAUUUGAAUUCUCAGGAUUGAGGCUGGACUGGUUCCGCCUACAGGUAAUGAUCUGUUCCUGUUAAAGAUUCUCAUCCUCAGAUUCUUCCUCCCCCACAAUCCCUUCUCUUUUUAUCUCCUAAAUUUGCUUUAUGGAGUGAGUCAACUUUGAAAACUGCUAAUUGGACAAGACAUACUCAGGCCAAACUGUAAUUCCAAGGCUGGGGGCCCUUUUCAUUCAUCUUAUUUUUCUCCACCCUUUCCCAACUCCAACUGCAGGCAUACACUAGCGUGGCUAAGGCCCCUCUGCACCUGCAUGAGAACCCUGACUUAGCCAAGGUGAUGAACCUCAUUGUCUUCCACUCCCGAAUGCUGGACUCAGUAGAAAAAUUGCUGGUGGAAACUUCUGAUCUGUCUACUUUCUGCUUUCAUCUCCGUAUCUUUGAGAAGAUGUUUGCCAUGACCUUGGAGGAACCUACCAUGUUGCGUUAUGCCAUUGCUUUCCCCCUGAUUUGUGCUCACUUUGUCCACUGCACUCAUGAGAUGUGCCCAGAGGAG
This 629-nucleotide small RNA is filed under the name Pan troglodytes (chimpanzee). Its description in RNAcentral is "retained intron". The record is from RNAcentral. Lineage: Eukaryota; Metazoa; Chordata; Mammalia; Primates; Hominidae.